This is a non-coding RNA of Pelobates cultripes (western spadefoot toad), 1414 nucleotides long. NCBI's taxonomy places the organism in Eukaryota, Metazoa, Chordata, Amphibia, Anura, Pelobatidae. The record is from the annotation of a GenBank genome assembly.
UGUUGUAUGUCUAUAUAGAUAAACAUAUUCUAAAUAUGACAAACACUGGCACUCUACAUUAAAACUUCAAGUGCCUUAGUACCUCCAACGCUAUUUAUAAUAUUCAAUCUGAAAAACUGGAGCACUCUUAGGACUUCUUAAACCAGCAAAAAUCUUCUUUUAUUCAACAUUUCACAUAAGUAAUACAUUCAUGACCAAUGUUUCGGACCCUUUUAUCAAGAUCUUGAAUACUCCAAACUAAAACAUGCAUGCAUUUAUAUAUGCUUUUUUUUUAUUGGUGUAUAUCCAAAAACAGAUUCCAAAAGUAGCAGACUUCUUGUCUGCAGCCUUUGCAAGGUCUCCUUUUUUCCCCAUGCUGGUGCUUUGGGUUUGUUCAAACGUGAUCCAGUGCUUUUUUAAUGAGCUGUAAUACACUACAGUUCGUUUGCCACUUCAGUUAGCUCUGUCGAGCUAAUGGAAGUUAAAGGAAACAUUUCCUGGCUUUCUGACUGAUAGGUGGGGAGGUAUUUUUGCACACAAUUAUAAAAGUGUUGAUUUUUGUUGAAAUCAGCCUGUUUAUAAACUGUCACAAAUGUACCAGACUCCGGGCACAAAAAGCACUUCAACAAGCUGAAGCACUUUAUGAGUGUGGAGUGUUCCUUUUAAGUUUGUUACUGGGCUGUGCAAAAACCAUAGGAGUUUAUUCACUAAUGCUCUAUUCUAGGUAAUUGUAAGCCAAAUUAUUAAAUCGAUGCAGAAAAGUGCUCAUUUGGAAACAACACUUUCAUAGUUAAUUAUUAAAGGUGCACUAUAGUCACCAAAUUAACUUUAGCAUAAUAAGUCAGAUUUUGUGUAUAGGUCAUGCCCUUGCUCAGUUCUGUGCCAUAUAGGAGUUAAAUCGCUUUGUUUAUGCAGUCCUAGUCACACCUCCUUGCAUGUGAGUUACACAGCCUUCCUAAACACUUCCUGUAAAGUGUCAUAUAAUAUUUACACUUCCUUUAUUACAAAUUCUGUUUAAUUUAGAAUUUCUCCUACUCUGUUAAUUCUGUCUUCAAUUCCGUGUUUAGUGGAUAAACCCCUACAUUUGACAGUCCUACUUUAAUACAGACACUUUUUAAAGCUCUAUUACUAACAAAAUAAUGACGUAACAUGACAGACCCACUUUAGAUGCCAAAGUCCAUUUGGACAUCUGCAGUUAAUACAAUACUGUAAAAUAUGAUCCAAGAAAUCAUAACUGAAUGUUUAAAAUGUUUCUAAAUGUAAAAAUCUAAUAAUAUAUGUAAAUCAAAUUAAGAGUGAAUGGACCUUGAAAAUUAACUAGGUUGUUUAAUUUCCAUGUUUAGUUUUAAGUGAAAUGUGACUGAAUUAUUCUGUGUAAUUAAAUAGUUAUGCCACGUACUGAAUUUUGUUUUAAGGAAUCCGUGUCGCUCCUCAC